GCAUAUCAAUAAGCGGAGGAAAAGAAACUAACAAGGAUUCCCCUAGUAACUGCGAGUGAAGCGGGAAAAGCUCAAAUUUAAAAUCUGGCGGUCUUCUGGCCGUCCGAGUUGUAGUCUGGAGAAGCGUUUUCCGCGUUGGACCGUGUACAAGUUUCCUGGAACGGAGCGUCAUAGAGGGUGAGAAUCCCGUCUUUGACACGGAUCCCAAUGCUUUGUGAUGCGCUCUCAAAGAGUCGAGUUGUUUGGGAAUGCAGCUCAAAAUGGGUGGUGAAUUCCAUCUAAAGCUAAAUAUUGGCGAGAGACCGAUAGCGAACAAGUACCGUGAGGGAAAGAUGAAAAGCACUUUGGAAAGAGAGUUAAACAGUACGUGAAAUUGUUGAAAGGGAAACGCUUGAAGUCAGUCGCGUCGGCCGGGACUCAGCCUUGCAUCCGCUUGGUGUACUUUCCGGUCGACGGGCCAGCAUCAGUUUUGACCGCGAGAUAAAGGCGGAGGGAAUGUGGCUCUCUCGGGAGUGUUAUAGCCCUUUGUCAGAUGUCGCGGUUGGGACUGAGGAACUCAGCACGCCUUUAUGGCCGGGGCUCGCCCACGUACGUGCUUAGGAUGCUGGCGUAAUGGCUUUAAACGACCCGUCUUGAAACACGGACC
RNAcentral lists this ribosomal RNA (646 nucleotides) under Stereum hirsutum. RNAcentral's name for it is "eukaryotic LSU rRNA". It matches the Rfam family "Eukaryotic large subunit ribosomal RNA", at positions 38 to 667 of the family's 3401-position model. The record is from RNAcentral. Lineage: Eukaryota; Fungi; Basidiomycota; Agaricomycetes; Russulales; Stereaceae.